Molecule: transfer RNA, 67 nt
Filed under: Chrysotus sp.
Lineage: Eukaryota; Metazoa; Arthropoda; Insecta; Diptera; Dolichopodidae
Description: tRNA-Asn
Source: RNAcentral
UUAAUUGAAGCCAAAAAGAGGCAUAUCACUGUUAAUGAUAUCAUUAGAAAUUUAUUUCUCAAUUAAG